UACGGGGGGUGCAAGCGUUGUUCGGAAUUAUUGGGCGUAAAGCGCGUGUAGGCGGUUUGUUAAGUCUGUUGUGAAAGCCCUGGGCUCAACCCAGGAAGUGCACUGGAUACUGGCAGACUUGAAUACGGGAGAGGGUAGUGGAAUUCCUGGUGUAGGAGUGAAAUCCGUAGAUAUCAGGAGGAACACCGGUGGCGAAGGCGGCUGCCUGGACCGAUAUUGACGCUGAGACGCGAAAGCGUGGGUAGCAAACAGG
Molecule: ribosomal RNA, 253 nt
Filed under: uncultured bacterium
Lineage: Bacteria
Also listed under: 1 other name
Description: partial 16S ribosomal RNA
Rfam family: Bacterial small subunit ribosomal RNA
Source: RNAcentral